GUCCAGACUCCUACGGGAGGCAGCAGUGGGGAAUAUUGCACAAUGGGGGGAACCCUGAUGCAGCGACGCCGCGUGGGUGAAGGAGUACUUCGGUACGUAAAGCCCUAUCAGCAGGAAAGAAAAUGACGGUACCUGACUAAGAAGCCCCGGCUAACUACGUGCCAGCAGCCGCGGUAAUACGUAGGGGGCAAGCGUUAUCCGGAUUUACUGGGUGUAAAGGGAGCGUAGACGGCAGCGCAAGCCAGGAGUGAAAGCCCGGGGCCCAACCCCGGGACUGCUCUUGGAACUGCGCGGCUGGAGUGCAGGAGGGGCAGGCGGAAUUCCUGGUGUAGCGGUGAAAUGCGUAGAUAUCAGGAGGAACACCGGUGACGAAGGCGGCUUACUGGACGGUAACUGACGUUGAGGCUCGAAAGCGUGGGGAGCAAACAGGAUUAGAUACCCGCGUACAA
Molecule: ribosomal RNA, 449 nt
Filed under: uncultured bacterium
Lineage: Bacteria
Description: partial 16S ribosomal RNA
Rfam family: Bacterial small subunit ribosomal RNA
Source: RNAcentral